RNAcentral lists this ribosomal RNA (1054 nucleotides) under Lacticaseibacillus paracasei. RNAcentral's name for it is "Lactobacillus paracasei partial 16S ribosomal RNA". It matches the Rfam family "Bacterial small subunit ribosomal RNA", at positions 56 to 1078 of the family's 1533-position model. The record is from RNAcentral. Lineage: Bacteria; Bacillati; Bacillota; Bacilli; Lactobacillales; Lactobacillaceae.
UGCAGUCGAACGAGUUCUCGUUGAUGAUCGGUGCUUGCACCGAGAUUCAACAUGGAACGAGUGGCGGACGGGUGAGUAACACGUGGGUAACCUGCCCUUAAGUGGGGGAUAACAUUUGGAAACAGAUGCUAAUACCGCAUAGAUCCAAGAACCGCAUGGUUCUUGGCUGAAAGAUGGCGUAAGCUAUCGCUUUUGGAUGGACCCGCGGCGUAUUAGCUAGUUGGUGAGGUAAUGGCUCACCAAGGCGAUGAUACGUAGCCGAACUGAGAGGUUGAUCGGCCACAUUGGGACUGAGACACGGCCCAAACUCCUACGGGAGGCAGCAGUAGGGAAUCUUCCACAAUGGACGCAAGUCUGAUGGAGCAACGCCGCGUGAGUGAAGAAGGCUUUCGGGUCGUAAAACUCUGUUGUUGGAGAAGAAUGGUCGGCAGAGUAACUGUUGUCGGCGUGACGGUAUCCAACCAGAAAGCCACGGCUAACUACGUGCCAGCAGCCGCGGUAAUACGUAGGUGGCAAGCGUUAUCCGGAUUUAUUGGGCGUAAAGCGAGCGCAGGCGGUUUUUUAAGUCUGAUGUGAAAGCCCUCGGCUUAACCGAGGAAGCGCAUCGGAAACUGGGAAACUUGAGUGCAGAAGAGGACAGUGGAACUCCAUGUGUAGCGGUGAAAUGCGUAGAUAUAUGGAAGAACACCAGUGGCGAAGGCGGCUGUCUGGUCUGUAACUGACGCUGAGGCUCGAAAGCAUGGGUAGCGAACAGGAUUAGAUACCCUGGUAGUCCAUGCCGUAAACGAUGAAUGCUAGGUGUUGGGAGGGUUUCCGCCCUUCAGUGCCGCAGCUAACGCAUUAAGCAUUCCGCCCUGGGGAGUACGACCGCAAGGUUGAAACUCNNGGAAUUGACGGGGGCCCGCACAAGCGGUGGAGCAUGUGGUUUAAUUCGAAGCAACGCGAGANNUUACCAGGUCUUGACNUCUUUUGAUCANCUGAGAGAUCNNNUUCCCCUUCGGGGGCAAAUGNCNNNNNNNCAUGGNNNUCGUCAGCUCNUGUCNNGAGAUGUUGG